GCGAGUGUGUUGGAAUAGGUAGACAAAACGGUCUCAAACACCGUCGCCGAAAGGCGUGUGGGUUCAAGUCCCACCACUCGCA
This 82-nucleotide transfer RNA is filed under the name Photobacterium profundum 3TCK. RNAcentral describes it as "tRNA-Leu". It matches the Rfam family "tRNA". From Rfam's summary of the family: Transfer RNA (tRNA) molecules are approximately 80 nucleotides in length. Their secondary structure includes four short double-helical elements and three loops (D, anti-codon, and T loops). Further hydrogen bonds mediate the characteristic L-shaped molecular structure. tRNAs have two regions of fundamental functional importance: the anti-codon, which is responsible for specific mRNA codon recognition, and the 3' end, to which the tRNAs corresponding amino acid is attached (by aminoacyl-tRNA synthetases). tRNAs cope with the degeneracy of the genetic code in two manners: having more than one tRNA (with a specific anti-codon) for a particular amino acid; and 'wobble' base-pairing, i.e. permitting non-standard base-pairing at the 3rd anti-codon position. Lineage: Bacteria; Pseudomonadati; Pseudomonadota; Gammaproteobacteria; Vibrionales; Vibrionaceae. The record is from RNAcentral.